This 253-nucleotide ribosomal RNA is filed under the name uncultured bacterium. Its description in RNAcentral is "partial 16S ribosomal RNA". It matches the Rfam family "Bacterial small subunit ribosomal RNA", at positions 524 to 776 of the family's 1533-position model. The record is from RNAcentral.
UACGUAGGAGGCAAGCGUUGUCCGGAAUUACUGGGCGUAAAGCGUGCGCAGGCGGUUAUGUAAGACAGGGGUGAAAUCCCCGGGCUUAACCUGGGAACUGCAUUUGUGACUGCAUAGCUAGAGUACGGUAGAGGGGGAUGGAAUUCCGCGUGUAGCAGUGAAAUGCGUAGAUAUGCGGAGGAACACCGAUGGCGAAGGCAAUCCCCUGGACCUGUACUGACGCUCAUGCACGAAAGCGUGGGGAGCAAACAGG